ACGGCUCAGUAACACGUGGACAACCUACCCUGAGGAGGGGGAUAACCCCGGGAAACUGGGGAUAAUACCCCAUAGACUAUGGAUGCUGGAAUGCUCUGUAGUUAAAAGGCCCGCCGCCUCAGGAUGGGUCUGCGGCCGAUUAGGUUGUUGUUGGGGUAACGGCCCAACAAGCCUGUAAUCGGUACGGGUUGUGGGAGCAAGAGCCCGGAGAUGGAUUCUGAGACACGAAUCCAGGCCCUACGGGGCGCAGCAGGCGCGAAAACUUUACAAUGCGAGCAAUCGUGAUAAGGGAACUCCGAGUGCCCGUAAAAUCGGGCUGUCCGCCAGUGUAAAUAACUGGUGAAGAAAGGGCCGGGCAAGACCGGUGCCAGCCGCCGCGGUAAUACCGGCGGCUCGAGUGGUGGCCACUAUUACUGGGCUUAAAGCGUUCGUAGCUGGUCUGUUAAGUCUCUGGGGAAAUCUUCCGGCUUAACAGGAAGGCGUCUCAGGGAUACUGACAGACUAGGGACCGGAAGAGGUGAGAGGUACUCCAGGGGUAGGAGUGAAAUCCUGUAAUCCUUGGGGGACCACCUGUGGCGAAGGCGUCUCACCAGGACGGCUCCGACAGUGAGGAACGAAAGCUGGGGGAGCAAACCGGAUUAGAUACCCGGGUAGUCCCAGCUGUAAACGAUGCGCGUUAGGUGUAUCGGUGACCACGAGUCACCGAGGUGCCGAAGAGAAAUCGUGAAACGCGCCGCCUGGGAAGUACGGUCGCAAGGCUGAAACUUAAAGGAAUUGGCGGGGGAGCAC
This 789-nucleotide ribosomal RNA is filed under the name uncultured archaeon. Its description in RNAcentral is "bacterial SSU rRNA". It matches the Rfam family "Archaeal small subunit ribosomal RNA", at positions 85 to 879 of the family's 1478-position model. The record is from RNAcentral.